This is a long non-coding RNA of Grus americana (Whooping crane), 1425 nucleotides long. RefSeq lists it as uncharacterized. The transcript has 3 exons. The record is from RefSeq and is a predicted model, not a curated record. NCBI's taxonomy places the organism in Eukaryota, Metazoa, Chordata, Aves, Gruiformes, Gruidae.
UCGGUCCGGCCCCGUUCCCACCUUCCCCUCAGGGCUGGGGCCGGUCGCCCUGACAGGAGGCGCCUCAGGGGCCUGUCCCGCUGGCUCGAAGUGCCUCGCUUCUCCAUUUUUAACGUUUUCUCAACUAAAAUCUGUUUUCCAGAGAGGCAGCCGCUGCUGGUCGCUUCUCCUUGUCUUUUAAGUCCUUCCUCAUCAUGUCCCACAUCGGCACUGAGGUGAUUUUGCUUGUGAUUGGGCUAAUUGAGCUGGAAUUAAUGGCUUUCUUUUCGCAAGUGGGAGAAUGGCAUUACAUUUUUGCCCCCCACAGCUGGUUAGCAUUUGUUGACUGUCGAUGCUAAUUGGUCAGCAUUUUCCUUAGCUGAUAAAACUCCCAGAGUUAGUGAUGGAUUUACUGGAGAGCUGCGUCCUAUGCUGGGCUCGUCACUAUGAGACUGGAGAGUCCAACGAAGGGCCACCAAGGUGGUGAAGGGGCUGGAGCAUCUGACGUGUGAGGAAAGGCUGGGAGAGCUGGGACUGUUCAUCCUGGGGAAGAGGAGGCUCCAGGGGAAUCUCGUCAGUGUCUAUAGAUACCUGUAGGAAGGGUGCAAAGAGGACGGAGCCGGGCUUUUCUCAGAGGUGCCCAGAGCCAGGACUGAAACACAAACUGAAACACUGGAAGUUCCCUCUGAACAUUGGGAGACGCUUUUUCACUGUGACCAGGGAGGCUGUGGAGUCUCCAUCCUCGGAGAUGUUCAAAAGCCAUCUGGAUUUCCUGGGCCACUGGCUCUAGGUGGCCCUGCUUGAGGUUGGACCAGAUGAGCUCUGGAGGUCCCUCCCAACCUCAACCACUCUGAAGCAUUUUGUGUUCAGGCAUGAACAUGUCACCCUCCCAUUGUAAUAAAAGACAAGUAUUUCUCGAGUUUGUCUUUCUUGUGACAUGACAUUUUUACCACCUACACCUGGUACUGGAUGUACAGCACUGUUCAUGCCGCAUUUGUUUCUCAUCUAGUUAAAGAAUUAUUUUUUUUCUUUGACAUCAGUCCCAUGGGCAAAAUAGUUCUUUUUUUUUUUUUUAUUGACACUCGUAGCUUCACUUCUUUCAUUUCUGAAUUGGUGUCAUCGCCUUUCUCCUUCUGGAGGUGAUAGCCGGUCCCUCAAGACCAACAAAAACGCAAAGGAAGUCAUGCAGAGAAAACACUUUCAGUAUCACCGCUGUUACCUGUAUUUUUAACACACCUCUACGAAAAGCUGCUCGGGAGCUGUUUAAAUUUGUCCCUUUAGGCUCAUUUUGUGAUCCAAGCUAAAGGAUUUGAUGUAGAAGAGACACAAGCCAUGGAUCUAAAGGAGAUGCUGUUGCAAAGCAGCCCUCUGCGCGUGGGACGUGCCGAGGCUGGAGCAGGGAGCAGCAUUGGUGAGAAGCCCUGUGUCCUGGUGGCACCUUGCUGA